AGAACGAACGCUGGCGGCAUGCCUAACACAUGCAAGUCGAACGAGACCCCAACUUCGGUUGGACGUCUAGUGGCGCACGGGUGCGUAACGCGUGGGAAUCUGCCCUUCGGUUCGGAAUAACUCGGAGAAAUCCGUGCUAAUACCGGAUAAUGACGUAAGUCCAAAGAUUUAUCGCCGAGGGAUGAGCCCGCGUAGGAUUAGCUUGGUUGGUAGAGGGUAAAGGCUACGACCGAAGGCGACGAUUCCGUAGCGUGUCGUGAGAGGUAUGAUCGAGCUACACUGGGACUGACGACGACCGGCCCGA
RNAcentral lists this ribosomal RNA (304 nucleotides) under uncultured soil bacterium. Its description in RNAcentral is "bacterial SSU rRNA". It matches the Rfam family "Bacterial small subunit ribosomal RNA", at positions 26 to 334 of the family's 1533-position model. The record is from RNAcentral.